UACGGAGGGUGCAAGCGUUAUUCGGAUUUACUGGGUUUAAAGGGUGCGUAGGUGGGCAGGUAAGUCAGUGGUGAAAUCUCUGAGCUUAACUCGGAAACUGCCAUUGAUACUAUCUGUCUUGAAUUAUCUGGAGGUAAGCGGAAUAUGUCAUGUAGCGGUGAAAUGCUUAGAUAUGAGGUAGAACACCAAUUGCGAAGGCAGCUUACUGCGGAUCGAUUGACGCUGAGGCACGAAAGCGUGGGGAUCAAACAGG
RNAcentral lists this ribosomal RNA (253 nucleotides) under uncultured bacterium. RNAcentral describes it as "partial 16S ribosomal RNA". It matches the Rfam family "Bacterial small subunit ribosomal RNA", at positions 524 to 776 of the family's 1533-position model. The record is from RNAcentral.